UUUGUCUACAUCUGAGUAUGCCGGUAACAGUGUUCUCUGUCUCUCUCAUGGGUAAGUGGAAAGUCUUGUUGAAACACCAGCGGUCACCAGGUGUCCAUCCUGUGAAGAGAUUGUCUUCACAGAAACCAGCAGAAGAGUGGGCGAGGCUACAUGGAUGAUUUGUUUCUUGUGCACCAUCAUGGGGUGUGUCGCAGGCUGCUGUUUAAUCCCUUUCUUCAUGAGCCGUCUGAAGGACGUCCACCACAAGUGUCCCCAGUGCCAGGCAAAUAUACACAUCCACCAGCCAUUUUGACCUGGAGGUUACUACAUUAACAGCACUGGUGUGAUUUGUACAGUAUGAUCCACUGCGUCUGUGCUUGAGUGACCACUUCCUGUGGACUUUGAGCUGUCUGGGACUCGGCCUCUGCUGUUUGACUCCACAAGUGAUCGAAGCAAUGUGCCUGGAGUCAACUACAUUGCUGGUACAAACUGUAAAAAGGCUCAGA
Molecule: long non-coding RNA, 485 nt
Organism: Sander lucioperca (pikeperch)
Lineage: Eukaryota; Metazoa; Chordata; Actinopteri; Perciformes; Percidae
Exons: 2
Source: RefSeq, a predicted model, not a curated record